Molecule: ribosomal RNA, 777 nt
Filed under: Pseudomonas sp. BIN4
Lineage: Bacteria; Pseudomonadati; Pseudomonadota; Gammaproteobacteria; Pseudomonadales; Pseudomonadaceae
Description: bacterial LSU rRNA
Rfam family: Bacterial large subunit ribosomal RNA
Source: RNAcentral
GCUUUGAAGCGUGGACGCCAGUUCGCGUGGAGCCAUCCUUGAAAUACCACCCUGGCAACCUUGAGGUUCUAACUCUGGUCCGUUAUCCGGAUCGAGGACAGUGUAUGGUGGGUAGUUUGACUGGGGCGGUCUCCUCCUAAAGAGUAACGGAGGAGUACGAAGGUGCGCUCAGACCGGUCGGAAAUCGGUCGUAGAGUAUAAAGGCAAAAGCGCGCUUGACUGCGAGACAGACACGUCGAGCAGGUACGAAAGUAGGUCUUAGUGAUCCGGUGGUUCUGUAUGGAAGGGCCAUCGCUCAACGGAUAAAAGGUACUCCGGGGAUAACAGGCUGAUACCGCCCAAGAGUUCAUAUCGACGGCGGUGUUUGGCACCUCGAUGUCGGCUCAUCACAUCCUGGGGCUGAAGCCGGUCCCAAGGGUAUGGCUGUUCGCCAUUUAAAGUGGUACGCGAGCUGGGUUUAGAACGUCGUGAGACAGUUCGGUCCCUAUCUGCCGUGGACGUUUGAGAUUUGAGAGGGGCUGCUCCUAGUACGAGAGGACCGGAGUGGACGAACCUCUGGUGUUCCGGUUGUCACGCCAGUGGCAUUGCCGGGUAGCUAUGUUCGGAAAAGAUAACCGCUGAAAGCAUCUAAGCGGGAAACUUGCCUCAAGAUGAGAUCUCACUGGAGCCUUGAGCUCCCUGAAGGGCCGUCGAAGACUACGACGUUGAUAGGUGGGGUGUGUAAGCGCUGUGAGGCGUUGAGCUAACCCAUACUAAUUGCCCGUGAGGCUUGACCAU